AACGCCCGCUGGCGGCAUGCCUAAUACAUGCAAGUCGAACGAUCACUUCGGUGGUAGUGGCGCACGGGUGCGUAACGCGUGGGAAUCUGCCCCUGGGGUCGGAAUAACAUCUGGAAACGGAUGAUAAUACCGGAUGAUGACGUAAGUCCAAAGAUUUAUCGCCCAGGGAGGAGCCCGCGUAGGAUUAGCUAGUUGGUGGGGUAAAGGCCUACCAAGGCGACGAUCCUUAGCUGGUCUGAGAGGAUGAUCAGCCACACUGGGACUGAGACACGGCCCAGACUCCGACGGGAGGCAGCAGUAGGGAAUAUUGGACAAUGGGGGCAACCCUGAUCCAGCAAUGCCGCGUGAGUGAUGAAGGCCUUAGGGUUGUAAAGCUCUUUUACCCGGGAUGAUAAUGACAGUACCGGGAGAAUAAGCCCCGGCUAACUCCGUGCCAGCCGCCGCCGUAA
This 449-nucleotide ribosomal RNA is filed under the name uncultured bacterium. RNAcentral describes it as "partial 16S ribosomal RNA". It matches the Rfam family "Bacterial small subunit ribosomal RNA", at positions 34 to 523 of the family's 1533-position model. The record is from RNAcentral.